CGGUCCUUUAGAUCAUCAUCCCUGAUGAGUCUCUGGGGUCCAGAGAGCAGGGACAAUAGAUCAGCAUACAUAUCUCUAAGUUCUCUCUCCUGAGGGGAGUUUUAAAAAGAAAUUCCAGGAGAUGCAGCCAUUUGUAUCUCUUAAUGAGCAAAAAAAGGACGACAAUCUCAGUUGAAAAGUUAUGUGGUUGCCUCUAUUCUUUCUGCUACCAGAAAUGCUGCAAGCUGCACUUUGAUAUAAUAAAGUCAUGGGAGGGACUUCAAAAUAUAUGCAUACUUUUUCAAGCAGUUUUCUUGUUGAAAUGAAUACUGCUGACAAGAAGAAAACAGAAGCCUUUGAGAUGUGGUGCUGGCAAAUAUUUAUGUAUUUCCUGGCUAGAAAUGACAAUGAAUGCUUAUGUUAGAAAUGCUAUUGGAGGGAAGCAGACCCUGCUAUCUGAAAUCAACAGGUGAAGACGUGUACUUUGGUUACAUCUAUCGUAGAGAUGGAAAUAAGAAAGUUAUCCUGGAAGGAAGGUGGCAGGUCAUUGUAGCAGAGGAUGACCAGCGAGGAGACGGAUAGAUGCUGUGUGGUGGAUGGCUGGGAGGUCAGCUGUUGAGUGCUCCAAGUGAGCAAUGGAUUGAGAAGGCUUCUGAAAAUUCUGCUAUGAUGUCACCAAUAUUCAGACAUGAAUAAAUGAAUUUUACUUA
Molecule: long non-coding RNA, 689 nt
Organism: Mauremys reevesii (Reeves's turtle)
Lineage: Eukaryota; Metazoa; Chordata; Testudines; Geoemydidae
Exons: 3
Source: RefSeq, a predicted model, not a curated record